UUAUGGCUCAGGAUGAACGCUAGCUACAGGCUAACACAUGCAAGUCGGAGGGGCAGCAUUGGAGUAGCAAUACUUCAGAUGGCGACCGGCGCACGGGUGAGGUAACACGUAUCCAACCUGCCGCUUACUCGGGGAUAGCCUUUCGAAAGAAAGAUUAAUACCCGAUGGUAUAAAGAGUUCGCAUGUUCUCUUUAUUAAAGAAUUUCGGUAAGCGAUGGGGAUGCGUUCCAUUAGAUUGUUGGCGGGGUAACGGCCCACCAAGUCUACGAUGGAUAGGGGUUCUGAGAGGAAGGUCCCCCACAUUGGAACUGAGACACGGUCCAAACUCCUACGGGAGGCAGCAGUGAGGAAUAUUGGUCAAUGGACGAGAGUCUGAACCAGCCAAGUAGCGUGAAGGAUGACUGCCCUAUGGGUUGUAAACUUCUUUUAUAAGGGAAUAAAGUGAGGGACGUGUCCCUUUUUGUAUGUACCUUAUGAAUAAGGAUCGGCUAACUCCGUGCCAGCCGCAGC
RNAcentral lists this ribosomal RNA (510 nucleotides) under uncultured bacterium. RNAcentral's name for it is "bacterial SSU rRNA". It matches the Rfam family "Bacterial small subunit ribosomal RNA", at positions 17 to 518 of the family's 1533-position model. The record is from RNAcentral.